GACGAACGCUGGCGGCGUGCUUAACACAUGCAAGUCGAACGGAAAGGCCCUGCUUUUGUGGGGUGCUCGAGUGGCGAACGGGUGAGUAACACGUGAGUAACCUGCCCUUGACUUUGGGAUAACUUCAGGAAACUGGGGCUAAUACCGGAUAGGAGCUCCUGCUGCAUGGUGGGGGUUGGAAAGUUUCGGCGGUUGGGGAUGGACUCGCGGCUUAUCAGCUUGUUGGUGGAGUAGUGGCUUACCAAGGCUUUGACGGGUAGCCGGCCUGAGAGGGUGACCGGCCACAUUGGGACUGAGAUACGGCCCAGACUCCUACGGGAGGCAGCAGUGGGGAAUAUUGCACAAUGGGCGGAAGCCUGAUGCAGCAACGCCGCGUGCGGGAUGACGGCCUUCGGGUUGUAAACCGCUUUCGCCUGUGACGAAGCGUGAGUGACGGUAAUGGGUAAAGAAGCACCGGCUAACUACGG
This 467-nucleotide ribosomal RNA is filed under the name uncultured bacterium. RNAcentral describes it as "partial 16S ribosomal RNA". It matches the Rfam family "Bacterial small subunit ribosomal RNA", at positions 28 to 506 of the family's 1533-position model. The record is from RNAcentral.